Molecule: transfer RNA, 77 nt
Filed under: Betaproteobacteria bacterium
Lineage: Bacteria; Pseudomonadati; Pseudomonadota; Betaproteobacteria
Also listed under: 8 other names
Description: tRNA-Ile
Rfam family: tRNA
About the family: Transfer RNA (tRNA) molecules are approximately 80 nucleotides in length. Their secondary structure includes four short double-helical elements and three loops (D, anti-codon, and T loops). Further hydrogen bonds mediate the characteristic L-shaped molecular structure. tRNAs have two regions of fundamental functional importance: the anti-codon, which is responsible for specific mRNA codon recognition, and the 3' end, to which the tRNAs corresponding amino acid is attached (by aminoacyl-tRNA synthetases). tRNAs cope with the degeneracy of the genetic code in two manners: having more than one tRNA (with a specific anti-codon) for a particular amino acid; and 'wobble' base-pairing, i.e. permitting non-standard base-pairing at the 3rd anti-codon position.
Source: RNAcentral
GGGUCGUUAGCUCAGUUGGUUAGAGCAGAGGACUCAUAAUCCUUUGGUCCGCGGUUCAAGUCCGCGACGACCCACCA